GUCUUGGCUGUAAACGGUGCGCAUUUGCUGUAAACGGAAUCGACCCGUUUGUGGCGAAGCUAACGCGAUAAAUGCGCCGCCUGGGAAGUACGGUCGCAAGAUUAAACUCAAAGAAAUUGACGGGCCUGCACAAGCGGUGGAGUAUGUGGCUUAAUUCGAUGCAACGCGAAGAACCUUACCUGGCCUUGACAUGCAUGUGGUAGAACCAUGAAAGUGGGACGAUCCCGCAAGGGAAGCAUGCACAGGUGCUGCAUGGCUGUCGU
Molecule: ribosomal RNA, 263 nt
Filed under: uncultured bacterium
Lineage: Bacteria
Description: partial 16S ribosomal RNA
Rfam family: Bacterial small subunit ribosomal RNA
Source: RNAcentral